This 253-nucleotide ribosomal RNA is filed under the name uncultured bacterium. RNAcentral's name for it is "partial 16S ribosomal RNA". It matches the Rfam family "Bacterial small subunit ribosomal RNA", at positions 524 to 776 of the family's 1533-position model. The record is from RNAcentral.
UACAGAGGGUGCAAGCGUUAAUCGGAAUUACUGGGCGUAAAGCGUGCGUAGACGGUUAUGUAAGUCAGGUGUGAAAGCCCCGGGCUCAACCUGGGAAUUGCAUUUGAGACUGCAUAGCUAGGGUGCGGAAGAGGGAAGCGGAAUUUCCGGUGUAGCGGCGAAAUGCGUAGAUAUCGGAAGGAACACCAGUGGCGAAAGCGGCUCCCUGGUCCAGCACCGACGUUCAGGCACGAAAGCGUGGGGAGCAAACAGG